Molecule: long non-coding RNA, 407 nt
Organism: Homarus americanus (American lobster)
Lineage: Eukaryota; Metazoa; Arthropoda; Malacostraca; Decapoda; Nephropidae
Exons: 3
Source: RefSeq, a predicted model, not a curated record
GGAGUGUGGGUGUGUGUGCUCCAACCAAAGCGUGUUGUGUGACUUGCCUCUGGAUUUUACUGAGUCUUCGCCAUGAGUGAGCGGUUUAAGGUGUCCUCCAGACGGAGGACCGCAGACCAACUACGGUUCCAUAGAUACCGAUGACUUGGACGGUAAGGUGUCGUUCCCCACGUCACCUGGUGGUGGAGAGAGUGUGGGUGGUGGUGGUGGUGGUGGUGAUGAUGAUGAUGGAGAUAGUCUUGGUAGUGUUGGGGCAGCUACUGGCGACCCCGACACCGCUACACCACUCAGCUUCAGCAUGGCCAACGACGGGAUGAUGGCACCCAUCCUCCCAGGAGCCAUGCCCACAGACACUGCGGGUCUCAUACCUGACAGACCCAAAAGCAAGUCAUCCCGACGUAAAGGUG